AGAGAUGAGAAUGUGCCUUCGGAACCGUGAGACAGGUGCUGCAUGGCUGUCGUCAGCUCGUGUUGUGAAAUGUUGGGUUAAGUCCCGCAACGAGCGCAACCCUUAUCCUUGUUGCCAGCGGUCCGGCCGGGGAAACUCAAAGGAGACUGCCAGUGAUAAACUGGAGGAAGUGGGGAUGACGUCAAGUCAUCAUGGCCCUUACGACCAGGGCUACACACGUGCUACAAUGGCGCAUACAAAGAGAAGCGACCUCGCGAGAGCAAGCGGACCUCAUAAAGUGCGUCGUAGUCCGGAUUGGAGUCUGCAACUCGACUCCAUGAAGUCGGAAUCGCUAGUAAUCGUGGAUCAGAAUGCCACGGUGAAUACGUUCCCGGGCCUU
This 379-nucleotide ribosomal RNA is filed under the name uncultured Enterobacteriaceae bacterium. RNAcentral describes it as "bacterial SSU rRNA". It matches the Rfam family "Bacterial small subunit ribosomal RNA", at positions 1002 to 1382 of the family's 1533-position model. The record is from RNAcentral. Lineage: Bacteria; Pseudomonadati; Pseudomonadota; Gammaproteobacteria; Enterobacterales; Enterobacteriaceae.